CUUAAACAUAUGCUUCAUAUUUUGCAGAGAUUUUAAAGUUAAUUUUGUGAAGCCUGGCAGGCAAUGACUCAUCUCUACCUCACCACGUCUAGCUGGAAGCAAGAACACUGAAGACAGAAAAGGCAGAUAUUUUACAGCAAGCAUUGUCUGCUAAAGAGAGAGCCUUCUGGAAACCAAUAGGUUGAAGAACUGAGCAAGUACAUCUGAUGAGGGCAAAGAGAACACCUCUCUCAGGGUGUUUUCAGUGAAACAUAAGGACCCUACAAGGCUGUGAACAGCACAACGCCUACAUUUAGGUGCCUUGACCUUCCCUCGCUCUCAUCCUGGUCUGCAGUGUAGCUGAACAAAUGCUUCUUGGUUUACUUAAAAAAAAAAGAAUUCUACAAGAUUUGCAAAUUGGAACAUUCAAGAACAUCUUCUAAGGAAAAUCAUGAGACAAUAAUCCUUUAAGAGAAUGUCUUCAAGAGGAAUUGAAUAACUUUGGAUGUACAUUGCUUUAGUUCAACUUAAACCACCUCUAGCAGUAAUAACUAGCUGAAUAUGGUUACGAUAUUAGUUAUUUUGACCACGUAAAUAGAUUUAGUAAUUCAUCUUUUCUACCUUCAAUUUAUAUAAGAAUACAUGUUUCUCUCUGAUGAGGCGUGCCCUUGGUAGCAUUAAUAAGAGGUAUAUUUCUUAAAAUAAAAAGGACAUA
Alexandromys fortis (reed vole) is the source of this 694-nucleotide long non-coding RNA. RefSeq lists it as uncharacterized. Lineage: Eukaryota; Metazoa; Chordata; Mammalia; Rodentia; Cricetidae. The record is from RefSeq and is a predicted model, not a curated record. The transcript is spliced from 3 exons.